This is a long non-coding RNA of Epinephelus fuscoguttatus (brown-marbled grouper), 694 nucleotides long. RefSeq lists it as uncharacterized. Lineage: Eukaryota; Metazoa; Chordata; Actinopteri; Perciformes; Serranidae. The transcript is spliced from 5 exons. The record is from RefSeq and is a predicted model, not a curated record.
AACGUGAUGCACCUGAGACUGCUCUUCAGGUAACAACCUUCAUGGAGGACAUAGUCUUGUAUAGCCAGACCUAUCCGGCGCUUUGCCUGAGGAAUUAACGGUUUUUGGGACCACUUGUAAUGUUAGCUGCAGCAGUUAGCCACAUUAGCUACAUUAUAAGCUGUUGGCCUGAGGACUUCUACCUGAAGGUGUUUUCCUGUGUGACUGUUGGAGCUUGGGGCCACACCAACUCUCACCUGUCCAACAAAAUGCAUCUGAGACUUGACUUCAUACAGGAAGACUCCCUUCACUCGCCUAUGGACAUUUCCUCCUACGCACCUGUCUACAGGAAAUUGAAGAACGCUGUUGAGAGUUGCUGGGGCAUCGCCGAACUCUAUUCCCCUCCUGCUAAGGCAGCUGUUUAGAGGCUCUCAUCAAUAAGGGAGGACUGUAAGGAAACCAGCAUGAAGAGCACGGCGGCCUCCCUCCCCUCCCGAUCCCACAAUAACACCCAUCAGCCAAUCUGAGCUCCGCCCUCUCAUCCAAAUAUGGUUGCUUCUGGCUCCAAAGAACCAAGAUGGCGACGGCUGAAAUGCCAAACCUGAGGCUUCAAAAUGUUAACAGAGCACUAAACCAGAGGUUGCCAGCCUGGCCAUUGGAAGUCCAUAGUGCACUUGCUCUAUGGGCCCUAUGAUGCAGAGUCAGCGCCGAUCAU